RNAcentral lists this ribosomal RNA (440 nucleotides) under uncultured bacterium. RNAcentral's name for it is "partial 16S ribosomal RNA". It matches the Rfam family "Bacterial small subunit ribosomal RNA", at positions 338 to 795 of the family's 1533-position model. The record is from RNAcentral.
CCUACGGGGAGCUGCAGUGGGGGAUAUUGCACAAUGGGGGGAACCCUGAUGCAGCGACGCCGCGUGGGUGAAGAAGCGCCUCGGCGCGUAAAGCCCUGUCAGCAGGGAAGAAAAUGACGGUACCUGAAGAAGAAGCCCCGGCUAACUACGUGCCAGCAGCCGCGGUAAUACGUAGGGGGCAAGCGUCAUCCGGAUUUACUGGGUGUAAAGGGGGCGCAGACGGCGAUGCAAGCCAGGAGUGAAAGCCCGGGGCCCAACCCCGGGACUGCUCUUGGAAGUGCGUGGCUGGAGUGCAGGAGGGGCAGGCGGAAUUCCUGGUGUAGCGGUGAAAUGCGUAGAUAUCAGGAGGAACACCGGUGGCGAAGGCGGCCUGCUGGGCUUUUACUGACGCUGAGGCUCGAAAGUGUGGGGAGCAAACAGGAUUAGAUACCCUUGUAGUC